This 424-nucleotide ribosomal RNA is filed under the name Enterobacter sp. Its description in RNAcentral is "bacterial SSU rRNA". It matches the Rfam family "Bacterial small subunit ribosomal RNA", at positions 56 to 478 of the family's 1533-position model. The record is from RNAcentral. Lineage: Bacteria; Pseudomonadati; Pseudomonadota; Gammaproteobacteria; Enterobacterales; Enterobacteriaceae.
UGCAAGUCGAACGGUAGCACAGAGAGCUUGCUCUCGGGUGACGAGUGGCGGACGGGUGAGUAAUGUCUGGGAAACUGCCUGAUGGAGGGGGAUAACUACUGGAAACGGUAGCUAAUACCGCAUAACGUCGCAAGACCAAAGAGGGGGACCUUCGGGCCUCUUGCCAUCAGAUGUGCCCAGAUGGGAUUAGCUAGUAGGUGGGGUAACGGCUCACCUAGGCGACGAUCCCUAGCUGGUCUGAGAGGAUGACCAGCCACACUGGAACUGAGACACGGUCCAGACUCCUACGGGAGGCAGCAGUGGGGAAUAUUGCACAAUGGGCGCAAGCCUGAUGCAGCCAUGCCGCGUGUAUGAAGAAGGCCUUCGGGUUGUAAAGUACUUUCAGCGGGGAGGAAGGUGUUGUGGUUAAUAACCGCAGCAAUUG